RNAcentral lists this ribosomal RNA (2341 nucleotides) under Robertmurraya dakarensis. Its description in RNAcentral is "bacterial LSU rRNA". It matches the Rfam family "Bacterial large subunit ribosomal RNA", at positions 589 to 2925 of the family's 2925-position model. Lineage: Bacteria; Bacillati; Bacillota; Bacilli; Caryophanales; Bacillaceae. The record is from RNAcentral.
AUGGGUGAUGGCGUGCCUUUUGUAGAAUGAACCGGCGAGUUACGAUUACAUGCGAGGUUAAGUUGAAUAGACGGAGCCGCAGCGAAAGCGAGUCUGAAUAGGGCGAAUGAGUAUGUGGUCGUAGACCCGAAACCAGGUGAUCUACCCAUGUCCAGGGUGAAGUCCAGGUAACACUGGAUGGAGGCCCGAACCCACGCACGUUGAAAAGUGCGGGGAUGAGGUGUGGGUAGCGGAGAAAUUCCAAUCGAACUUGGAGAUAGCUGGUUCUCUCCGAAAUAGCUUUAGGGCUAGCCUCACGAUCAAGAGUCUUGGAGGUAGAGCACUGUUUGGACUAGGGGCCCUCAUCGGGUUACCGAAUUCAGACAAACUCCGAAUGCCAAGUACUUAUGCGUGGGAGUCAGACUGCGAGUGAUAAGAUCCGUAGUCAAAAGGGAAACAGCCCAGACCACCAGCUAAGGUCCCAAAGUAUACGUUAAGUGGAAAAGGAUGUGGAGUUGCUUAGACAACCAGGAUGUUGGCUUAGAAGCAGCCACCAUUUAAAGAGUGCGUAAUAGCUCACUGGUCGAGUGACUCCGCGCCGAAAAUGUACCGGGGCUAAACGUAUCACCGAAGCUGUGGGUGGACACUUACGUGUCCGCGGUAGGAGAGCGUUCUAAGGGCGUUGAAGCUAGACCGUAAGGACUGGUGGAGCGCUUAGAAGUGAGAAUGCCGGUAUGAGUAGCGAAAGAUGGGUGAGAAUCCCAUCCACCGAAUGCCUAAGGUUUCCUGAGGAAGGCUCGUCCUCUCAGGGUUAGUCGGGACCUAAGCCGAGGCCGAAAGGCGUAGGCGAUGGACAACAGGUUGAUAUUCCUGUACCACCUCAUUACCGUUUGAGCGAUGGAGGGACGCAGGAGGAUAGGGUAAGCGCGCUGUUGGAUAUGCGCGUCCAAGCAGUUAGGCAGAGAAAUUGGCAAAUCCGUUUCUCGUGUAAGCUGAGCUGUGAUGGCGAGGGAAAUAUAGUACCGAAGUUCCUGAUUCCACACUGCCAAGAAAAGCUUCUAGCGAGGUAGUAGGUGCCCGUACCGCAAACCGACACAGGUAGGCGAGGAGAGAAUCCUAAGGUGAGCGAGAGAACUCUCGUUAAGGAACUCGGCAAAAUGACCCCGUAACUUCGGGAGAAGGGGUGCUUUUUAGGGUGCAUAGCCCUGAAGAGCCGCAGUGAAUAGGCCCAGGCGACUGUUUAGCAAAAACACAGGUCUCUGCGAAGCCGCAAGGCGAAGUAUAGGGGCUGACGCCUGCCCGGUGCUGGAAGGUUAAGAGGAGAGGUUAGCGCAAGCGAAGCUUUGAAUUGAAGCCCCAGUAAACGGCGGCCGUAACUAUAACGGUCCUAAGGUAGCGAAAUUCCUUGUCGGGUAAGUUCCGACCCGCACGAAAGGCGUAACGAUCUGGGCACUGUCUCAACGAGAGACUCGGUGAAAUUAUAGUACCUGUGAAGAUGCAGGUUACCCGCGACAGGACGGAAAGACCCCGUGGAGCUUUACUGUAGCCUGAUAUUGAAUUUUGGUACAGCUUGUACAGGAUAGGUAGGAGCCGUGGAAACCGGAGCGCUAGCUUCGGUGGAGGCGUCGGUGGGAUACUACUCUGGCUGUAUUGAAAUUCUAACCCGCACCCCUGAUCGGGGUGGGAGACAGUGUCAGGUGGGCAGUUUGACUGGGGCGGUCGCCUCCUAAAGAGUAACGGAGGCGCCCAAAGGUUCCCUCAGAAUGGUUGGAAAUCAUUCGUAGAGUGUAAAGGCACAAGGGAGCUUGACUGCGAGACCUACAAGUCGAGCAGGGACGAAAGUCGGGCUUAGUGAUCCGGUGGUUCCGCAUGGAAGGGCCAUCGCUCAACGGAUAAAAGCUACCCCGGGGAUAACAGGCUUAUCUCCCCCAAGAGUCCACAUCGACGGGGAGGUUUGGCACCUCGAUGUCGGCUCAUCGCAUCCUGGGGCUGUAGUCGGUCCCAAGGGUUGGGCUGUUCGCCCAUUAAAGCGGUACGCGAGCUGGGUUCAGAACGUCGUGAGACAGUUCGGUCCCUAUCCGUCGUGGGCGUAGGAAAUUUGAGAGGAGCUGUCCUUAGUACGAGAGGACCGGGAUGGACGCACCGCUGGUGUACCAGUUGUUCUGCCAAGAGCAUCGCUGGGUAGCUAUGUGCGGAAGGGAUAAGUGCUGAAAGCAUCUAAGCAUGAAGCCCCCCUCAAGAUGAGAUUUCCCAUAGCGCAAGCUAGUAAGAUCCCUGAAAGAUGAUCAGGUUGAUAGGUCAGAGGUGGAAGCGUGGUGACAUGUGGAGCUGACUGAUACUAAUCGAUCGAGGACUUAACCAA